UAUGCACCGAAGCCGCGGCAGCGAUAUGUAAAUAUUGUUGGGUAGGGGAGCGUUCUGUAAGCCUGUGAAGGUGACCUGUGAGGGUUGCUGGAGGUAUCAGAAGUGCGAAUGCUGACAUAAGUAACGAUAAUGCGGGUGAAAAACCCGCACGCCGGAAGACCAAGGGUUCCUGUCCAACGUUAAUCGGGGCAGGGUGAGUCGACCCCUAAGGCGAGGCUGAAAAGCGUAGUCGAUGGGCAACGGGUUAAUAUUCCCGUACUGGUGGUAACUGCGAAGGGGGGACGGAGAAAGCUAAAUCAUCCGGGCGACGGUUGUCCCGGUUUAAGCGUGCAGGUGGACUGACCAGGCAAAUCCGGUCGGUUGUUAACACUGAGGCGUGACGACGAGCCACUACGGUGGUGAAGUGAUUGAUGCUCUGCUUCCGGGAAAAGCCUCUAAGCUCCAGGUUACCAUUAAUCGUACCCCAAACCGACACAGGUGGUCAGGUAGAGAAUACUCAGGCGCUUGAGAGAACUCGGGUGAAGGAACUAGGCAAAAUGGUGCCGUAACUUCGGGAGAAGGCACGCUGGCAUUAGGUGAAGUGGUUUACCCAUGGAGCUGAAGCCAGCCG
Molecule: ribosomal RNA, 610 nt
Filed under: Escherichia coli
Lineage: Bacteria; Pseudomonadati; Pseudomonadota; Gammaproteobacteria; Enterobacterales; Enterobacteriaceae
Also listed under: 2 other names
Description: partial 23S ribosomal RNA
Rfam family: Bacterial large subunit ribosomal RNA
Source: RNAcentral